This is an RNA transcript of Odobenus rosmarus divergens (Pacific walrus), 1411 nucleotides long. It is a transcript of the gene named perilipin-2-like, with no coding region annotated. Lineage: Eukaryota; Metazoa; Chordata; Mammalia; Carnivora; Odobenidae. The record is from RefSeq and is a predicted model, not a curated record. The transcript has a single exon.
AUGGCAUCUGUUGCCGUUGAUCCACAGCUGAGUGUGGUGACUCGGGUAGCCCAUCUUGGUGAGCUCCACGUCCGACCUCGUCUUCUUGGCUUAUAUCAGUACAAAGGAUCGGUACCUGUGCUUGAAGUCUGCAUGAGAGAUGGCAGAGAAGGGUGUGAAGACCAUCACUUCCGUGGCUGUGACGAGUGCUCUGCCCAUCAUCCCAAAGCUAGAGUCACAAAUUGCCGUUGCCAGUACCUCUGCUUGUAAGGGGCUAGAUAGGAUUGAAGAGAAACUGCCUAUUCUGAAUCAGGCAACACACCAGGUUGUUGCCAAUGCCAGAGGUGCUAUGACCAGGGCAAAAGACGAUGUGACCACUACUGUGACCGGGGCCAAGGAUUCCAUGGCCAGCACCACCACUGGCAGUGUAGUGAAGACCAAGUCUAUGGUCAGUGGCAGCAUUAACACAGUCUUGGGAAGUGGGAUGAUGCAGCUGGUAAGCAGCAGAAUAGAGCAUGCGCUCACCAAAUCAGAGUUGCUGGUGGACCAGUACCUCCCUCUCACUGAGAAAGAACUAGAAAAAAGAAGCAAAAAAAGUUGAAGGGUUUGAGAUGGUUCAGAAGCCAAGUUAUUACAUUAGACUGGGAUCCCUGUCUAUCAAGCUCCACUCACAUGCCCACCAGCAGGCUUCUAACAGGAUUAAGGAAGCCAAGCAAAAAAGCAAAGAGACCAUUUCUCAGCUCCAUUCCACUGUUAAUCUGAUUGAAUUUGCCAGGAGGAAUGUGCAUAGUGCCAACCGGAAAAUUCAAGGUGCUCAGGAUAAGUUCUCUGUCUCCUGGGUGGAGUGGAAGAGAAGCAUUGGCCACGAUGAUACAGAUGAAUACCACUGUGCUGAACACAUUGGGUCACGUCGUCUUGCUAUUGCCCACAACCUGACUCAGCAGCUCCAGACCACGUGCCACACCCUGAGGUCCAAUAUCCAAGGUUACCACAGAACAUCCAAGAUCAGGCCAGUCACUUGGGGUGAUGGCUGGUAACAUUGACUCACGGUUCUGCAGUGCUGCCUCUUUUAAGGAAGUGUCUGACGGCCUCCUCAUUUCCAGCAAGGGGCAGCUGCAGAACACGAGGGAGUCUUUAGAUGAUGUGAUGGAUUAUCUUGUUAACAACACGCCUCUCAACUGGCUGGUAGGUCCCUUUUAUCCUCAGCUGGCUGAGUCUCAGCAUGCUCAGGACCAAGGUGCACAGAAGGGUGCAAGCAGUCAGGAGGCCCAGCAGCCUGAGCACAGAACACAUUCAAGCUGUCCUUGUCACCACUCCAUGGUGCGGCCAGCCAGAGGAAACUUUCUGUGAUGUUGAAAUUAACCUGCUAGACGGUUCUGAAUUGGGGAAGCAGCUAGCUAGAGAAAAGGUCCUCAGUUGUAGUCAUUUUUAA